This 279-nucleotide ribosomal RNA is filed under the name uncultured bacterium. Its description in RNAcentral is "partial 16S ribosomal RNA". It matches the Rfam family "Bacterial small subunit ribosomal RNA", at positions 506 to 784 of the family's 1533-position model. The record is from RNAcentral.
UGCCAGCCGCCGCGGUAAUACGGAGGGUCCAAGCGUUAUCCGGAUUUAUUGGGUUUAAAGGGUGCGUAGGCGGGAUAUUAAGUCAGUGGUGAAAUCCUUCGGCUCAACCGGAGAACUGCCAUUGAUACUGAUAUCCUUGAGUACAGACGAAGUGGGCGGAAUGUGUCAUGUAGCGGUGAAACGCAUAGAUAUGACACAGAACACCGAUUGCGAAGGCAGCUCACUAGACUGUUACUGACGCUGAGGCACGAAAGCGUGGGGAGCGAACAGGAUUAGAUA